UACGGGGGGGGCAAGCGUUGUUCGGAAUUACUGGGCGUAAAGGGCUGGUAGGCGGCCAACUAAGUCGGACGUGAAAUCCCCAGGCUCAACCUGGGAACUGCGUCCGAUACUGGAUGGCUUGAAUUCGGGAGAGGGAUGCAGAAUUCCAGGUGUAGCGGUGAAAUGCGUAGAUAUCUGGAGGAACACCGGUGGCGAAGGCGGCGUUCUGGACUGCAACUGACACUGAGGAACGAAAGCCAGGGGAGCAAACGGG
RNAcentral lists this ribosomal RNA (253 nucleotides) under uncultured bacterium. Its description in RNAcentral is "partial 16S ribosomal RNA". It matches the Rfam family "Bacterial small subunit ribosomal RNA", at positions 524 to 776 of the family's 1533-position model. The record is from RNAcentral.